CCUACGGGGGGCAGCAGUGGGGAAUAUUGGACAAUGGGCGAAAGCCUGAUCCAGCCAUGCCGCGUGUGUGAAGAAGGCCUUCGGGUUGUAAAGCACUUUCAGUGGGGAAGAAAGCCUUGGGGCUAAUACCCUCGAGGAAGGACAUCACCCACAGAAGAAGCACCGGCUAACUCCGUGCCAGCAGCCGCGGUAAUACGGAGGGUGCGAGCGUUAAUCGGAAUUACUGGGCGUAAAGCGCGCGUAGGCGGUCUGAUAAGCCGGUUGUGAAAGCCCCGGGCUCAACCCGGGAACGGCAUCCGGAACUGUCAGGCUAGAGUGCAGGAGAGGAAGGUAGAAUUCCCGGUGUAGCGGUGAAAUGCGUAGAGAUCGGGAGGAAUACCAGUGGCGAAGGCGGCCUUCUGGACUGACACUGACGCUGAGGUGCGAAAGCGUGGGUAGCAAACAGGAUUAGAUACCCUAGUAGUC
RNAcentral lists this ribosomal RNA (465 nucleotides) under Vreelandella stevensii. RNAcentral's name for it is "partial 16S ribosomal RNA". It matches the Rfam family "Bacterial small subunit ribosomal RNA", at positions 338 to 795 of the family's 1533-position model. The record is from RNAcentral. Lineage: Bacteria; Pseudomonadati; Pseudomonadota; Gammaproteobacteria; Oceanospirillales; Halomonadaceae.